CAGGAUGUACUCAGGUAUUUCAGUCAGUACACACACUGGUACUGGAUUGGCCUGAGAGCUGAAGGAGGGAGAUGGAAGUGGAUCGAUGGAAGUGACCUGACUGAAAGUGUCAGCUACUGGUUACAUGAACAACCAAAUGCUACUGAUGGUCAGUGUGUAGUUUAUGACACACCCAGAUGGAGAUCAGUGAGCUGUGCUGACAGACGGCCUUGGCUCUGCAAAAAGAAGAAUGUAUCUGUUUAAACACUGCAGUCAGACUUGAGAAGUUUACUGGAUACUUUCCAUGAUAAUAUCAACUGGCUUCAUAAAUAUCAAACUGGGAAGACUUCUACUUCACAAUU
Molecule: long non-coding RNA, 341 nt
Organism: Sander lucioperca (pikeperch)
Lineage: Eukaryota; Metazoa; Chordata; Actinopteri; Perciformes; Percidae
Exons: 2
Source: RefSeq, a predicted model, not a curated record